UCUCACUUCGCCAUCCAUCCUUCUGCCCAUAAUCCCGCGACCAGAGACAAACGCACCUGUACAAGUCGCCGUGCCCAACGACAGCUCGAUGACUCUUAUGCGUGCGACCGCGCGUUUCUUCCAUCGAUCUGGAAACAAAAAAAGAUGCGUCGCGGUUAGAGCUGGUGCUACUCUCACCUCCAACCUUUCCUUCAUCGUUCGCGUCAGUCCUGACAACAUCUUGUUGGCUUGACCAAGAUGUUCUAGACAUGGUGUCUUGCCAACAACCAAAGGAUUUGGUUCCCCUAGAUCCCACCAAGAUACUCAAUAGGCUGGUAAAUAAGUGUAAAUGCUUCGCCGGGAAACUGCAGGAAAAUGAUGAAACAACAGCAAUGAAGGAAGUCGAUGGACAAGGACGAUUAAACACCAUUCUAAGGCGUCUGAUGAUUGACCGAAGGGAGUUAGCAACUGUGCAUGCCGUUCUAACGGUACAGCAACCUGCUCCCUAUAUUUAACAUCGAGUAAUGUGGUUUAUAGGAGAAUAACACAGUGCAAUUUCG
Molecule: small RNA, 539 nt
Filed under: Cryptococcus neoformans H99
Lineage: Eukaryota; Fungi; Basidiomycota; Tremellomycetes; Tremellales; Cryptococcaceae
Description: Cryptococcus neoformans var. grubii H99 hypothetical RNA
Source: RNAcentral